RNAcentral lists this ribosomal RNA (460 nucleotides) under uncultured bacterium. RNAcentral's name for it is "partial 16S ribosomal RNA". It matches the Rfam family "Bacterial small subunit ribosomal RNA", at positions 338 to 795 of the family's 1533-position model. The record is from RNAcentral.
CCUACGGGUGGCAGCAGUGAGGAAUAUUGGUCAAUGGGUGAGAGCCUGAACCAGCCAAGUCGCGUGAAGGAUGACGGCCCUACGGGUUGUAAACUUCUUUUGUCAGGGAGCAAUUGGGUCCACGCGUGGGCUUAGCGAGAGUACCUGAAGAAAAAGCAUCGGCUAACACCGUGCCAGCAGCCGCGGUAAUACGGAGGAUGCGAGCGUUAUCCGGAUGUAUUGGGUUUAAGGGGGGCGUAGGCGGAACAUCAAGUCAGCGGUAAAAAUUCGGGGUUAACCCCCGUCGUGCCGUUGAAACUGAGGUUCUUGAGUGGGCGAGAGGUAUGCGGAAUGCGUGGUGUAGCGGUGAAAUGCAUAGAUAUCACGAAGAACUCCGAUUGCGAAGGCAGCAUACCGGCGCCCAACUGACGCUGAAGCACGAAAGCGUGGGUAUCGAACAGGAUUAGAUACCCCGGUAGUC